RNAcentral lists this ribosomal RNA (1455 nucleotides) under metagenome. RNAcentral's name for it is "bacterial SSU rRNA". It matches the Rfam family "Bacterial small subunit ribosomal RNA". The record is from RNAcentral.
AGAGUUUGAUCCUGGCUCAGGACAAACGCUGGCGGCGUGCCUAAAACAUGCAAGUCGAACGAGCUGCUUGCAGCUAGUGGCGGACGGCUGAGUAACACGUAGGUGACCUACCCUUGAGUGGGGAAUAAGCCUCCGAAAGGAGGUCUAAUACCGCAUACGACCGCCCUGUUUCGGCAGGGUGAGGAAAGCAGUAAUGCGCUCGAGGACGGGCCUGCGUCCGAUUAGCUUGUUGGUGGGGUAACGGCCUACCAAGGCGACGAUCGGUAACUGGUCUAAGAGGAUGAUCAGUCAGACUGGGACUGUGACACGGCCCAGACUCCUACGGGAGGCAGCAGUUAGGAAUCUUGGGCAAUGGGCGAAAGCCUGACCCAGCAACGCCGCGUGGGUGACGAAGCCCUUCGGGUCGUAAAGCCCUUUUGCACGGGAAGAUGAUGACGGUACUGUGCGAAUAAGCCCCGGCUAACUACGUGCCAGCAGCCGCGGUAAUACGUAGGGGGCGAGCGUUGUCCGGAUUUAUUGGGCGUAAAAGGCUUGUAGGUGGCCACGUCAAGUCGGAUGUGAAAUCUCCCGGCUCAACUGGGAGGGGUCAUUCGAUACUGACGGGCUCGAGGCCGGUAGGGGGAAGCGGAAUUCCCGGUGUAGUGGUGGAAUGCGUAGAUAUCGGGAGGAACACCAGUGGCGAAGGCGGCUUCCUGGACCGGUUCUGACACUGAGGAGCGAAAGCGUGGGGAGCGAUCCGGAUUAGAUACCCGGGUAGUCCACGCCGUAAACGUUGGGCACUAGAUGUCGGGGGUAUCGACCCCUCCGGUGUCGCAGCUAACGCAUUAAGUGCCCUGCCUGGGGAGUACGGCCGCAAGGCUAAAACUCAAAGGAAUUGACGGGGGCCCGCACAAGCAGCGGAGCGUGUGGUUUAAUUCGAUGCAACGCGAAGAACCUCACCUAGGCUUGACAUGGCUGAAGUAGAACCCCGAAAGGGGAACCACCCGUAAAGUCGGGAACAGUCACAGGUGCUGCAUGGCUGUCGUCAGCUCGUGCCGUGAGGUGUUGGGUUAAGUCCCGCAACGAGCGCAACCCUCGGCGUUAGUUACUAUGUCUAACGCGACUGCCGGUUUCAAACCGGAGGAAGGUGGGGAUGACGUCAAGUCAGCACGGCCCUUACGCCUAGGGCUACACACACGCUACAAUGGCCGGUACAACGGGACGCCAAGGGGUGACCUGGAGCAAAUCCCAUCAAAGCCGGUCUCAGUUGGGAUUGCAGGCUGCAACUCGCCUGCAUGAACGCGGAGUUGCUAGUAACCGCAGGUCAGCACACUGCGGUGAAUACGUUCCCGGGCCUUGUACACACCGCCCGUCACGUCAUGAAAGUUGGAAACGCCUGAAGUCGGUGGGCCAACCCGCAAGGGAGGCAGCCGCCGAGGGCGGAGCCAGCGAUUGGGACGAAGUCGUAACAAGGUA